RNAcentral lists this ribosomal RNA (433 nucleotides) under uncultured bacterium. RNAcentral's name for it is "partial 16S ribosomal RNA". It matches the Rfam family "Bacterial small subunit ribosomal RNA", at positions 29 to 507 of the family's 1533-position model. The record is from RNAcentral.
AACGAACGCUGGCGGCAGGCCUAACACAUGCAAGUCGAGCGAGAUCUUCGGGUCUAGCGGCGGACGGGUGAGUAACGCGUGGGAAUAUGCCUCUUGGUACGGAAUAGCCUCGGGAAACUGGGAGUAAUACCGUAUGUGCCCUUUGGGGGAAAGAUUUAUCGCCAAGAGAUUAGCCCGCGUUGGAUUAGGUAGUUGGUGGGGUAAUGGCCUACCAAGCCGACGAUCCAUAGCUGGUUUGAGAGGAUGAUCAGCCACACUGGGACUGAGACACGGCCCAGACUCCUACGGGAGGCAGAAGUGGGGAAUCUUAGACAAUGGGGGCAACCCUGAUCUAGCCAUGCCGCGUGAGUGAUGAAGGCCUUAGGGUUGUAAAGCUCUUUCAGCUGGGAAGAUAAUGACGGUACCAGCAGAAGAAGCCCCGGCUAACUCCGUG